GGGGGGAGGCCGGAUCCUGGGCUGUGUCCCGGCGCCCUGUGCUCCCGGCCUGCGCUGUUGGAUUCGCGCUCCCGCCCCGCAGCCCCCU
RNAcentral lists this microRNA precursor (88 nucleotides) under Canis lupus familiaris (dog). RNAcentral describes it as "mir-8799 microRNA precursor family". It matches the Rfam family "mir-8799 microRNA precursor family". The record is from Rfam by way of RNAcentral. Lineage: Eukaryota; Metazoa; Chordata; Mammalia; Carnivora; Canidae.